UGGGGAAUCUUAGACAAUGGGGGAAACCCUGAUCUAGCCAUGCCGCGUGAGCGAUGAAGGCCUUAGGGUUGUAAAGCUCUUUCAGCUGGGAAGAUAAUGACGGUACCAGCAGAAGAAGCCCCGGCUAACUCCGUGCCAGCAGCCGCGGUAAUACGGAGGGGGCUAGCGUUGUUCGGAAUUACUGGGCGUAAAGCGCACGUAGGCGGAUUUAGUCAGUCAGAGGUGAAAUCCCAGGGCUCAACCCUGGAACUGCCUUUGAUACUGCUAGUCUUGAGGUCGAGAGAGGUGAGUGGAAUUCCGAGUGUAGAGGUGAAAUUCGUAGAUAUUCGGAGGAACACCAGUGGCGAAGGCGGCUCACUGGCUCGAUACUGACGCUGAGGUGCGAAAGCGUGGGGAACAAACAGGAUUAGAUACCCUGGUAGUCCACGCCGUAAACGAUGAAUGCCAGUCGUCGGGUUGCAAUGCAAUUCGGUGACACACCUAACGGAUUAAGCAUUCCGCCUGGGGAGUACGGUCGCAAGAUUAAAACUCAAAUGAAUUGACGGGGGUCAUAGCUGUUUCCUG
RNAcentral lists this ribosomal RNA (564 nucleotides) under uncultured bacterium. RNAcentral describes it as "partial 16S ribosomal RNA". It matches the Rfam family "Bacterial small subunit ribosomal RNA", at positions 355 to 941 of the family's 1533-position model. The record is from RNAcentral.